This is an RNA transcript of Cavia porcellus (domestic guinea pig), 5022 nucleotides long. It is a transcript of the gene named von Willebrand factor A domain-containing protein 3A, with no coding region annotated. The transcript has 35 exons. The record is from RefSeq and is a predicted model, not a curated record. NCBI's taxonomy places the organism in Eukaryota, Metazoa, Chordata, Mammalia, Rodentia, Caviidae.
GGGGCCGAGGGGGCGCGAGGUGGCGGCGCGGGGACUCCGGGCCCCGGCGGCGGCCCAUGGGGCGGGAGGCGUGAGGCCGCAGCCUGCCCGGGGCUCGGGGGGUGGGGGGAGCGGGGCGGGGAGAUGGAUAAGCUGACCAUCAUCUCAGGAUGUCUCUUUCUGGCCGCCGAUAUCUUCGCCAUCGCCAGCAUCGCCAACCCGGACUGGAUCAACACCGGGGAGUCCGCGGGAGCACUCACCGUGGGCCUUGUGCGACAGUGUCAAACAAUCCAUGGACGAGACCGAACCUGCAUCCCUCCCCGGCUUCCCCCCGAGUGGGUCACCACACUGUUUUUUAUCAUCAUGGGAAUCAUUUCAUUGACUGUCACAUGUGGUUUGCUAGUGGCUUCCCACUGGCGAAGAGAAGCUACAAAAUAUGCUCGUUGGAUAGCAUUCACUGGAACAUGAAGAGAAACACUAACAGACAUCAGAAACAAUUGAGCCAGAAGGACAUGAAUGGACUUGACCAAAAUCCAGAUGAUGGAUUACCGGUUACACAGCUUAACCAGACACAGGACUUACUGAGGCUGCAGGGAAAUGAGAUUCAGUCAGUUUUGGAAGACCCCGAAGAUUGGCUUUCAACUCACAGCUUAAAGUUUGAGAAACUCACUUUGGCUGACCUGAUAAGUCAGGGUACAGCUGUGCUGGAGGAGAACAGCAGUGUCAUGCAGGAAAUACACUUCUCCACUCAGACUAUUUGCCAUUUCGAAUCAAAGCUUUCUGAAAUUAUCGAACUCUAUCAACAGAGAAUUCAGUGGCUUACAGAAAACAGCAAGAAGGCAUUUGGCCUCAUCAGGGGGACCAGAGUGGCCAUCCUCAUUGAUGCAUCUGUGGCCAGCCGUGGCCCUAGAACAGAAGAGUUCCAAAAUGACUUUAUGAGCCUUGUUGAUGAGCAGCUGAGCCUCAAGGAGAAGCUCUAUGUCCUGUCCUUCGGCACCACUGCCCGGCCUCUCUGGCCAGACCCCACGGAAGUCUGCACCUCCAACCUCCAGGAACUCAAACUCUGGGUAAAGAAACUGCAGCCUGAAGGAGGCAGCAAUUUACUACAAGCGCUGAAGAAAACUUUCCCUCUCCAGGGGCUGAAUUCCUUGAUGAUCAUAAUGAGAAGCUGCCCAGAUCAGCCUUUGGAAAUUCUGUCUGACUACAUUCAGCAGUCCACCGUGGGAAGCGGCCUCAUCAUCCACUUCAUCACCUACAAAUGUGAUGAUCAGGUGCCCUCUGCUGUCCUAAAGAACCUUGCAGAAGCACUUGGAGGCUGCUACCACUGCUACAGCCCAGAGACAGAGCUCUAUACCAGUCGGGAUGUGGAUGAGCUGCUGGCAGAGAUCCAGAAGGCCCAGGGCCUCCUCAACCACAUACAAGCCUUGCGCCAGAGCAGCCCCUGUGAGGAACUGGCCCGCAUGAUGAAGGAAAUUGCCACAGAGUAUACAAGAGAGUCACUCACGGAUCUUUUGCCUAAACCCCCAAAGCAUGAUGCUCCUCUCACUAUUGUGUUCCCAAACCUGGAAAAGACUUCUGCAGAAUGGCUAAAGAUCAAUGGUCUAAAAGCCAAGAAAUUAAGCCUUUAUCAGAUUCUGGCACCCAAUGCAUUCUCUCUUGUGGAAGAAUUUGUACCUAUUCUCCAGAAGACAGUAUCAUCAACUAUCCAUGAGAAGACAAUGGUACAAUUUGAAUGGCAUGAUGGGACAGUGAAGAAUAUCCACGUGGAUCCACCCUUCCUCUAUGAAUACCAGAAACAGCUCAGCAGAGCCAUGCGAGGGUAUGAGAGGCGGGUCGAGUGGCUCUCACUGGCCAGCAGAAGAAUCUGGGGCACCAUCUGUGAAAAGAGGGUGGUUAUACUGCUCGAUAUCUCUGUGACCAAUUCCAUGUACAUUAUUCAUAUCCAGCACUCCCUGAGGCUGCUGCUGGAGGAGCAGCUGUCCAACAAGGACUGCUUCAACCUCAUCGCGUUUGGAAGCACAGUCGAGAGCUGGAGGCCUGAGAUGGUUCCUGUGAGCCAUGACAAUCUCCAGAGGGCCUGGAGGUGGGCCCUGAGCCUGCAGUGUGGAGGCAGCAGGAACGUGCUCGGUGCCCUGCGGAAAGCUGUGGAAGUGGACUUCAGGGACAAAGAUAAACACCAGUCACAGGGCAUCUACCUCCUCACGGGGGGCAUCCCUGACCAGGAUGUGCCCACACUCAGCGCCUACAUGGCUGAAAGCUGCGGCGGCUGCGACCUCCAGCUGAACGUGAGUCUCUUCUCCGUGGGUGAGCCACAGAUGGACAGCACCCCUCCUGCCUGCUACGCCAGCCGCUCGGACACAGCCAGUGCCUACAGGGCCAUCGCCUGGGCUACUGGUGGCCGCUUCCACUGGUUUGGAGACACAGGCAUUUAUGAGAGUGAUGACAUCAAUGCCAUCAAAUCUGAGAUGGAAAAGGCCCUCAACUAUUCCCAAAAGUGUGCCUUACUAGUGGCCUCCCUGAAGAACCAUUUGAGAAAAGAACUGGAAAAUGUAGCUGUUUCUAAAGAAAAACCAAAGAUGCUCAAGCAAAGAAGCCAGCCCAAGGAAUCCUCUUUACCCAAGCCUACAGCCCCCUCCAUGGCCAGAAUGAACAUUAAAGAUGACUUGGAAAGAGAGAGGAGCCCUCCAUCAAAAUCUCUGAAAUGUCGUCAACUCAGUGGCAAAGUGCGCAUCUCCCCAGCCCAACUCAUGGAAGAAGGGACAGUAGAGUGGAAGAGAAAGAUCAAAUCACGAGCAGCACAGACAGCUCUCUCCCUGUUCUAUACAGAGACUGGGAAUACCGUAGGUUCAAUAUAUAAGAAGUACCCUCAGAGAAUAAGGAUACGAAGGACCAUAUCUUCUGUUAACUUGCCCAGGAAGGACACAGUUUGCUCAAGCCAAGAGUGGCUAGCAAAUUACGGGUUGAAGAAACUGAAGAUGGAGAUAUCCAGAUGCCUGGGUCCCAGCUGCAGCCAUCAGAAGUCCACACAGAGCUCAGCCAAACACUGCGAUGUCAUCCCCAGCAUAGAGAUCAAUGGAGUGGUGAGACACAUUCAGUGGACACUCAGGGAAAUGGAUGUGUACAUUGCAUGCCUGGAGAAGGUGAUGAGAUGCUACAUCCAGCGGCUUCGGUGGCUGCUGUCUGGGAGUCGCCGACUCUUUGGUGCCAUCCUGGAGAGCAAAGUGUGCAUCCUGCUGGACACUUCCGGGUCCACAGGUCCCUAUUUGCAGGGGGUGAAGUCGGAGAUGGUUCUGCUGAUCUGGGAGCAGCUGCGGAAGCACUGUGACAGUUUUAACCUGCUCAGCUUUUCAGACAGCCUCCAGCCGUGGCAAGACACUCUGGUGGAGACCACAGAUGCAGCAUGUCGCGAAGCUAUACAGUGGCUGACCCACCUGCAAGCUCAGGGGAGUACCUCAAUCUUGCAAGCAUUAUCGGCAACUUUCAGUUUUCACGAUGUGCAAGGACUAUACCUGCUGACUGAUGGGAAGCCGGAUACGAGCUGCAGCCUUGUUCUUGAUGCUGUCCACAGACUCCAGGAGGAAAGGGAUGUGAAGGUGCACACUGUCUCCCUGAGCUGCACAGACAGAGCCGCAGUUGAGUUCCUGAAGAAGCUGGCUUCCCUCACCGGUGGCCGUUACCACUGCCCAGUCAGUGGGGACACACUCUGCAGGAUGCACAGCCUGCUCACCAGGGGCUGCAUCGAUGAAAGGGAGAAAUCAAGGGCUAAAACAUUUUUACUGACGGAAUAGCAGUAAGAUAAAGAGUCUAUGCCAUUUCUGUUGGCCUGGAAAGGGAGCAGCUUCACUGAAGUUCAGAGACCAACUUGGUUUGCCCCUGCCCACUUCUCACAUUGACUGCCGGGUAUCGUAUUGCAAAGUGUGCUGUAUGCAAAGUGACUGCCUAGACUGAUGAUCUCAUCUGGUCAUGUAACAGAUUGAACUUCACACUCAUUUACCCUUUCCAAGGAUCCCCCACUGCCACUGUUUGAAGGCGAUGACUUGAGGAGACUAGCCCAGGAGAUCACCAAAACCCGGAGAUUCCUUGCACAAGCCCAGGUAUUCAGAUCCCAGCUCCAGAAGAAAAGUAAUGACGCACCGCAAGUUACUCUUUGUUAGAGUAGUAUUCUCAGGAGGACACAGAAAGAUAUAACUUACAGAUUAUCCACAGGAGAGACCAGUCCAGACACCAGGGCAUGCUGAAAGUCUGGAAAGAAAGAGUCUGUUCUGUGAGUACAGAGCCAUCUGUGGGUCUUUGAGCCACCCUUCCUGUCCUUCUCUGUUCUCCAACAUUCCAGUAAUAAGAUUGAUGUUCACUGGAAUGUUCUUGUCACCUUCUGCCUGGGGACUCUCAGCUCAAUGACAUCAGCUCCACUGUGAAGAUGCUCCUGGGACAGAGCUAAGAUCUCCAGGCAGAGUUGAAAGCUUCCAGCCUUCCUCUUGUAGCAGCCUGACUAAUACUUUUUGUUGUACUUGGCACUUGCUUGACUAUCUAACUCUCCUCCUUCAGUGGCUCCCCCAGAACGAGGCCACAGUCCUAACCAUCUGGAGAUUUCCAGCACCUGCCAUAUGGCAGACAUGUGAUAAGCUGAACAUCCUGCAGAAUGUGGGAGUUCCACUAAGGAAACCAAUCAGCUGAGGCUGUUUUUCCUUGGGGCCUCCCUAUUUUCCUUACCAUCUAUGGGCCAAUCCAGAUUCCCCAAGUCUGCCUGACUUGAGCAAAAAAGCUAGCGAUGUCCACCACCCCACCCACUCCUGCUCCACCAAACUGAAUUGAAGGCUGCUUCACAACCCAGUCCAAAGUGAACAUUCUGCUCAACUCUGAAAAUCAGGCUGGAUCUGGCUCCACUGUGGACACAUGAAAUGAAUGUGGUUAUGCUAUAUCAUCUGUGGUCAUUUUCUAACAUGAAAUGGACGUGGUGCAUGUUAUAUCAUAUGUGAUCAUUUUCUAAAAUUGGAAAAGUGCUUUUAUUUCCAUGAUUAAAGUCAAAGUUACUUGGUUGCCUUA